GGGGGCUACCGGCUAAGACGAAGCCGAUUCAGAUUGGAGCAAAUCGAACAUCGAUUUGAUCCUGUCGUACCGCGUAAACAGCCAAGAUGGCGAUCCCCGAUUCGUGACGUCACAUGAAGUUCGGCAAGCCGAUUGAACGAAUGAUUUCAGUACUUUUGACACCUAUAUCGGUACCGGCUAAAAAAUCGAAGUUCGGCGCCUGAAGCCGAUUCCCAUUGGAAGUGUCAGUUGAAGCCGGGCACUUUUCAGUAACCGUGAUCAAUUUUAAUUUCUUAUUUUCACUGUUUUCCAACAAUAUUAGGAGCUAUUUACGGUGGGCGACAAAUUUUAGGAACAUCUUAAUCAAUGUAAAAUUGAUAUCGGCGUGAAUUUUCGUGUUUAAAUACCUAAAUACAGUGUCAUGGAGAUAGUCGUAUUGUGGGCUGCUGCGGAAGAAAAUGUCUUCAGAAUCUUGAGCAAAUCGAUCGCAGGAUACUUCGAGAGAAAAGCCAGUAUAUACUUCUCACAGGUACAUCUAUUUAUAACAUUAUUUCUGACAAGUGGCUGAAUGUUUACAGAGGAAAAGUUGCUGAACUUACUAGAAGCGAUUUUUGAUCAUUUCAUACUUAUCUAUUUUGUUUUGUUUCAGAGAGUAGCUACAUUGAUAAUUUUAGAUUAUCAAAAGAUGCAUUUCGGACUUUGUAUCAUGACUUAGGACCAUUAUCUGAAGGAAGUCCAAAGCUCUACAACUGUGCAACCGACUUUAAGUGACAAAUGCCCUCAAUCAGCCUGCAAUCGUGAGACAAUAUAUCAAGUUUCCUUGGGACAGAAACUGAGCAUGUAGAAGUCUCCAGAGGUUUUAAUGACAAAUUUGGAUUUAUUGGAGUACUUGGAUGCAUCCACGGCACACACAUUGCCAUUAUCCAACCUCACGAGUGGGAAGAGGCCUUCUUCAAUAGCAAGUAUUACCAUUCAUUGCAUGUUAUGUUGGUUUGUGAUGGAGAUAUGUGCAUUACAUUAUUGUGAUGCAUCCAAUGGGAGUGUUAGUGCUAGACUGCUAGCCAAGAUAUCCAUAUUUGGAACAACAGCACUUUGAGAAGGGAAAAGGAACAUCUCCUUAAUUUUAAUAUGUUUUAAGUUCAUUAAGUGGACUCAUGUGGUCCUUGAAAUGUAAAUUAUAAAGUCAGUGUGGUGUAAUCAAAAGUGGCAGAUUGUUAUUCAAUAAUACAACAUCUAAACAAACCUUUCUUUAUUGGCAUCAAAUAAAUUAUAUUCAUUAAGUAUGCAGAUUUAUUUAUUUUGUGUUAUUACAUAAUUUGUUUCAUUGCACCCCUCUCAUUAACCAACCUAUCUCUCAAGUAGAUACAUUUCUCUAAUCCUGUGUCCAUUGUGCUUAAUAAAGUAGUUUAUCCUUCUAUCUUUAACUUGUAAUAAAUAAAUCCAUUUAUUUUGUAUAAAUACAAGCUUGCGGGGCCUUAUUUCACUAGACUAUUUGUAAUGUGUAAUAGUAGUCAAAACAGCCCUGCGGGUGGAUCGAAGAAAUGUAAUCAAUUAGAACAUACUACAAAUAUAAUAUUGUACCCAAUUCUUACUAUAAUAUGGAAAUA
Molecule: long non-coding RNA, 1586 nt
Filed under: Pectinophora gossypiella (pink bollworm)
Lineage: Eukaryota; Metazoa; Arthropoda; Insecta; Lepidoptera; Gelechiidae
Description: uncharacterized LOC126368108
Source: RNAcentral